RNAcentral lists this ribosomal RNA (253 nucleotides) under uncultured bacterium. RNAcentral's name for it is "partial 16S ribosomal RNA". It matches the Rfam family "Bacterial small subunit ribosomal RNA", at positions 524 to 776 of the family's 1533-position model. The record is from RNAcentral.
UACGAACCGUGCGAACGUUGUUCGGAAUUACUGGGCGUAAAGGGCGCGUAGGCGGCCGAUCAAGUCAGGCGUGAAAUUCCCGGGCUCAACCUGGGGGCUGCGCUUGAUACUGAUUGGCUUGAAUGCGGGAGAGGAUAGUGGAAUUCCCAGUGUAGAGGUGAAAUUCGUAGAUAUUGGGAAGAACACCAGUGGCGAAGGCGGCUAUCUGGCCCGUUAUUGACGCUGAGGCGCGAAAGCGUGGGGAGCAAACAGG